Molecule: long non-coding RNA, 6111 nt
Organism: Crotalus tigris (Tiger rattlesnake)
Lineage: Eukaryota; Metazoa; Chordata; Lepidosauria; Squamata; Viperidae
Exons: 2
Source: RefSeq, a predicted model, not a curated record
UGUAUGUGUGAAAAAUGAUCAUAAGUCACUUUUCUCAGAGCCAUUGUAACUUUGAACAAUCACUAAACUAAUGAUUUUAAGUUGAGGACUAACUGUAGCAUGAAGGUGCAAAUUUUCAUCAUUGUGAAUAUACAGAUCACCCGUGAUACCUCAGUUACAGGUAAGUAACCAUUCUUAUCUCUAUCCAAUUUUUCUAUGUACCCUUCAGAAUUUUCUAAAUCCUCUGACUGGAAGCUGACAUAUGCAGAGCAGCACCUUGUACAGAGACCAAAUUUGCAACCACUUCAGAAGCCUCGACAGAGAGUUCUCCAUAAACACCACCAAACUCUAAAGCUGCUUUCCUGCCAGAUGAUAUAGAAGUGAACUUUUCCAUCUGAAAGAAUGAUAAUAAUAAUUUUUUAAAAGAAACCUAAGAAAUGGCACUGCCAGAAGAAAACAGCCACCAAGAACUGGACUCAAAUCCAACUGAUCUGGCUAGCACGAUAAGUUCUGAAUAGCCUCUGACUUGCUGAUGGAAUUCCCAGCGUGGCAUAUAACCAACAAUAUAACUCUUUCCACCUCAUAGUUGGUGGGGUUUUUUACACCGGAAAACUGCUUCCAGUUUCAUCACUGUGCAUAAUCUUUAUAUUCUCAUUAGGGAACUCUCUGUGACCUUCACUAAAGGUUCUGGGGUUUGGUUUAAUUUACUUUUGUUUUUAGCAUGGCAAACAAUGGAUUAUAAUAUAUAUGCAGAUUGCAUGAUGUUUUUUAAUGGGACCGAUAGUUCCAAUUCUGCACACCCAAAUGUUCACUGGUAUCCCUUUUCCCUAUCCUCUCCCCCCCCCCCCGAUAGAAACGUAGAAAUAUUUUGUGUUAGUGAUACACGGAAUGAUAUUCUGUUUUACAGUAUCCACAAUCCAUACAUGAUCUCCACACAGACAUUCUAACAGAUUUGGUGUGUUAUGGGAAUGUUUCAGGUAUCUGCAUUGAGAUUAUAUCUUGCGUGACUCGCCAUGUGCAUUGCUUCAGUAGCAAAGUUGGCUUGGUAACUCACAUGGAUAUUGUUGUGGCUGUUUUGACUGUUCUCUUGUAGAAGUAGUAGAAUGAGAGCACGUAUGUUCCUUUGCUGAACCUACUCUCCAAAAAUGACAAGUAAGAUUAUAUUUCUGUUACUUUGAUGCAUGUUAAAUAAUAGAGAAGAAAUUAAUGGAUAUAAAGAUUGCUGUCUUGUUGCAAGAACCCUUUGCUUUCGAUGAUUGAAGACACAUGUACCAUUUCAGUAGCAACUUGGCCAAUCUGAAAACAUUUUCAUUGCACUCUGUAGAAAUGCAGUGUUUUCUGCUACACAGUUGUAGCAAAAGCCAGCUAUAAAAAGUGCUGAUUGGUUAGCAUAGGUGACGUUAUGCUUGCUUAUUUUCAAUAGAACAGACAAAAAUAUGAAUAGUAAACUGAUAAAUAAUUAGUCUUACUCCAUAAGCUAUUUUAAUUCUUUUUUUUUUUUUUUGAAGGCACAUGGCCCAUUUAAAGUAGUCUAAAUAUAGUAACAGAUCCAGUUUUUGGCUUGCUGGUAGUGCAAGCCUACUGUAGUGAGCACACUACAAGUUAUACCCGGUAUAACUGGUAUAUUUAUCUUCACUCCUGGAAGUGACUUGUUGAAAAUUAGAACAGCUACUUUUUAGGGGGCAUAUGGAGAAACGUUAAAGAUAAUAAAUGCAGACCACAACUCUUUGUAGGGAAAUAGGGUGAUUGCCCAUCAAGAUCUUCCUUGUUUCUUUCUAAAAUAAAAUUGCAUUUGUUCAAGUAUGUUCUUAAGUGGUUCUGCCCAGUGACAUAUUCUUCCAUUGCCUUCCAACUGAGUCUUGGAAGUCACUUUUUUUUUGUUCAUCUGGUGUGCCAUAUUGACCUCAAAUUCUUUUUCAAUCAGCUAUCAGCCAGAGUGAGCAAGCCAAAAUUUCACAGGCCAAGGAUAUGUUGAAAUCUCAAUUAUCUUGAAUAGUGCACUUAAGGAUAAUUUAUGCUACAGAUAGGUAUCCACAAAUAUAUUGUGUUUUGAAUCUGUCUUGACUCACUGCUUUAUACUGAGACCUUUUUCUUUCUUUCUUUCUUUUUGCUCUCACCAGCGAGUUUGAGCAGAAAUGUUUACUUCCCACAUAACUGUAGCCGGCUUAAGACUGUUGCAACCAAAAUGAGCUCUGCUCUCCGUUAUUCUUUGUCCAGGUUUCCAGAACACAGCAGGCUGUGGUUUAAUCUUUAUCCCUACCAAUUCUGAGUCAGUGCUUUCCCAUACACUUUUGUUCCUUCAUUUCUUCUGGAAACAAAAACUCUUUCUAGCAAAAAAAAAAGUAAUGAUAGCAUCCAUAGAAAACAAGUGUCUGGUUCUAAUUGUCCCUAAAUCAAGCAAUGGCAGAUCUUCAGUUGAACUUUUUCCUGCUUGAUAGACUGUUACAAACUUGUGUAGUUUUCACAUACACAUACAGACACACACUUUUGUUGUGCAAUUCAUACUUUUCAAUUUGUCAGUGUUUCAAGAUGUACUUGAAGCUAUUUUAAGAGAAGAGCAGCUUAUGUCCCUGCAUGGAUCCUGGACUAUUCGUCUCGCUUGUUUCCUUGAAAUUUUGCCGAAGAUUUGUCCGUAGUCUAGAUGUUCCAAUGGCUCAUGAAAGCUUUCACAACAGGAGUAAAUCCAAAGUCAGUCAUUUCUAGACAGAUUUUACGUUUCAACAGAACUUUGUUAUGGGUAAUCCACUUUCAAGGAGAACGUUUGCUCUAUCGUGCUUUUUGUGAAGGUUUUCAUAAUGUGUUGCCAGCAUAUGACACUUAGAUCACUUUAGUUGCAGGGGUAUCCACUCAGUGUAGAUUUAAAAAAUGGUCAAGAUGGGAGCCAUUGAAGCUCCGUUCAGUUUGUAUGUGGGUUACCCAUGUGGCACACAUUAAAAAUGGGCAAAGCUUUACAUGUUGUGGGUGCCCUCUUGACUUUUUUUUACCAUGCCCUAUAAACACCCUUAUUUAGUUAUGAGACUCCUCUAUUGCAGUCUUCAUAGAGAAAAGAUAGUGUGUCUUAUUACAUGAAGAAAAAGAAUACUUCCAAUGUUAAAAAGUCCCAGUCUUUUAUGUUGGAGCAGGGAAGUAGCAAGGGAAAAGAGCAAUAGGAUUAAAGUAAUAUUCCAGAAAAAAUCAAUUGCCAUUAGUCUUAGAGAAGACAGUUACCAAUAUUAAACUCUAAUAAAGAACCAGAUCUACAAUCAGUGCCUCAGAUUAUUAUCAGCUGUGAUGACAAACCUACUUGCGUGUGCCUCAGUAGAAUUACUACUUUCUUAACAGACUUUCUCAGCACAUUUUUUUCCUUUCAUCAAUGGUUUAUUGUACAUACAGGGUCCUUUAAUCAGCUCCCUCUCUUAACAAUCCAUCUGCAGACCACAUUGUCCAAGAAAAUAGGAUGAGCCCUGCUAGAUCAGAUCUUAGUCUGAUAAUAUUAUGUUAGUCCAACAUAAUAUUUUCAACUCUGAUCAGCUAAUAGUCGCUGGACCCAUAGGGCGUAAAAACCAUCUUUGCUUCUAGCUUCUAGAAUGUAUAUAUUUUAGAGUCCUGAUCUCUUCUGUGCCUCUUCAGUUUUCAAUAGAUCUGUAUCUGAAACCUGCCUAAAAGAAUAAUAAUAAUUUUGACAACUGGGAAGGGCCAGAGUACAGAUUUUAAAUGAAGAAGGUCCUAAAUUCAAUCACCAGCAACUUAAGUUAAUCGAAUCUCAGGUAGUAGGACUGGAAAAGAUCACAACUAUCAGAUCUAGGUUGCAAAAAUCAGAAAGACCACUACAUGACAGUACAAGGUUACAUAUUUUUCUGAAUCAUUAUGCUAUAGACUAGCACUUGGUAAAGCAGACAUGAAGGCCUUGGAAAGGCUACUCCAACAUUGUUAUGUGUUUAUACCUACAAAGAAGAGCAUUGUACAAGCCAUGGUGUUCUCUGUAACUUUCUAUGGAAGUGAAAAUUGGACUUUGAGGAAGCACGAUAGGAAGAGCAUUGACAGUUUUGAACAUUGGUGUUAGAGAAGACCCCUGAGAGAAUUACAGACAGUCCAAAAAACAAACUAAUGGAUCAUCAAACAAAUCAAUCCAGAGUUCUCACUGGAAGCAGAAAUGUUUCCUGCACUGGAGGCCAAAGGUGUCUUACUUCAGGCACAUUAGUUGAAGACCUAGUUCUCUGGAAAAAGCUAUCAUACAGAUAGUCCUCAACUUACACCAGUUCAUUUAGUGACCGUUCGAAGUUACAACAGCACUGAAAAAAGUGACUUAUGACCAUUUUUGACACUUAUGACUGUUGUAACAUCCCACCGUGUUACUAAUCUAACGAUGGCAGUGAUUCACUUAACAAAUGUGGCAAGAAAAGUCGUAAAGUGGGACAAAGCCCACUUAACAAAUUUCUCACUUAGCAACAUAAAUUCUGGACUCAAUAGCAACCAUACGUCGAGAAUAACCUGUACUGGAAAAGAUGGAGGGAAAGAGAAGAGGACAACCAGCAGCAAAGUAGAUAGACUCAGUUAUAGUGUCAGGGAGUAGAUCAUAGUAAAUCCUAAGAGAUCAGGUUGAGACGUAGAUCACCAUGGAGAAAGUCUGUAUCAUUAUUAGAAAUCCAAAAUUAUCUGAAGGUACACAAUCAAAUCUUUGGUAUCUUCUAGUGGUCUUCUGUUUUUCUACAUUCCAGAUCUGUUAGUUGUAGAAAAGACUCCUGCUUAAGGCUUAGAAGAAAUCCUGCUAGUUUGGCAAAGAUAAUUCUAAGUCAGACAGACCAAUGAUCUUAUUCAAUAUAUUCGGUGUCAUUUAUUUAUGUAACAAAAGCAGAAACAUAAUUGCACACAGUGAAGCUUGAAGCUUCUGCAACAUAAAUAUCCAUUUUCAUGUUUCAUUUUUCAAUAUUUGAAUAUUGUAGCAGCGUCUCAUCUUAACUUCCAUUUAAUCUUUUCACAACUAGUUCUUUUUUUUUCUCCCCAUCACAGUAUUUUCAUUAUGGCACUAAUAUUGCUCUUUUCUAAGUCCUUUCCAAUUUCUCAAAUAUCCCUGGCCAGCUAUAGCUACUCAUUGAUUUGAUUGUGCAGUGAUUUUCAUGCUUGCAUGACUGCCCUUAACAUCUUGAAUCUCUUAUUGGAGUACAUGUUGCCCUGCAAAGUUUGAAUUCAUGUAAACCAAUGGUUCUCAACCUUUUCUUUACCAUGGAGCCCCUUCAAAUACCUUUUGUGGCCACAGACUAUAGACACGAACCCCCAAGACUUAAGAUUUAAAGCACUAGACUGUGUCAAGCCUUCGCAGAUCCCUUGAGAUGGCAUUGUGUUCCCCCAUUUCAUCCCAGGGCUUCAUGGACCACAGGUUGAGAACCACUAAUAUAAACAAUUGGCUGGUUUCAUAAGUACCUACACAUGAACCAGAGAACACAUCCAGUAAUGCAGAGACAAAUACUACUUUACUGCUAAUACUUUCUGAAGAAAUCCAAGCUGCCCAGUGUACAUUUUGAAGGUCUACACCUGAUCAUAUUCACUAGAAAUUCUAAGGGGUUAUAUUCCCAAUGGGUGCCAGCAUGAAGGAGUUUGUAUUAAGCAUUUUAUUCUGCUUUAUGUUGAUGAUGAUAGUGCAUCCCAAAAGGAUAAUGUUCAUCAUCAAAAGAUGCAGCAACUAUUAUUUACUGUUAUAUAGGCCUCAAAUGUACCCAAAAAUUUUCCUCAGGUGUUACUUUAAUCCAAAGCUAGGACUAAACAUUGGGUUACAGUACAAUAGCCCACAUUUUGCAUAUACUUUGGGUGGAUAAGCUUCUAAAAUGUCUCUUCAAGUCCUACCAAAUUUCCUUCUGCUCCAUUGUUACUAUUGUUGACAACUGCUUUCUUUUAGGAUAGAAUUAAGUACAUCCAAGUGGUUUCCACAGAAAAGAUGUAAGCUUAUAUUUAAGUCUCUGUUUUUAAGUUUUUAACUUCAGCAAGAGUGCAUUAUUUCAUUUAAAUGAACAGUUCUUGAUUCUAGUCUCUUAAAAUGACCAACAGGAAGUUUUUAAUUUCUCAUGGGCCUCAGGCAAUAUGGAAUGCAUUCUGACAUGCAGUCUGGGCAAAUAUGUCUUUAUUACCAUGAAAUUAAAAUAAAAGUCUGAACAGUUA